CACUUCUACAAAGGUGUGUCUGUGGUUCCCUGUCCUUGGACAUGCAAGAAUUGGAGGCAAAGAGAUAAAGACUUGGAGAAAUCUGGAGCUAACUUGCUCCCCAUAGGCUCAAGAUUACCCUUUCCCACACAU
This 132-nucleotide small nucleolar RNA is filed under the name Dasypus novemcinctus (nine-banded armadillo). Its description in RNAcentral is "Small nucleolar RNA SNORA38 (ENSDNOG00000040228.1)". It matches the Rfam family "Small nucleolar RNA SNORA38". From Rfam's summary of the family: ACA38 is a member of the H/ACA class of snoRNA that guide the sites of modification of uridines to pseudouridines. Lineage: Eukaryota; Metazoa; Chordata; Mammalia; Cingulata; Dasypodidae. The record is from RNAcentral.